RNAcentral lists this ribosomal RNA (301 nucleotides) under uncultured bacterium. RNAcentral's name for it is "partial 16S ribosomal RNA". It matches the Rfam family "Bacterial small subunit ribosomal RNA", at positions 509 to 807 of the family's 1533-position model. The record is from RNAcentral.
CAGCAGCCACGGUAAUGCGUAGGUGGCAAGCGUUGUCCGGAAUUAUUGGGCGUAAAGGGCUCGCAGGCGGUUUCUUAAGUCUGAUGUGAAAGCCCCCGGCUCAACCGGGGAGGGUCAUUGGAAACUGGGAAACUUGAGUGCAGAAGAGGAGAGUGGAAUUCCACGUGUAGCGGUGAAAUGCGUAGAGAUGUGGAGGAACACCAGUGGCGAAGGCGACUCUCUGGUCUGUAACUGACGCUGAGGAGCGAAAGCGUGGGGAGCGAACAGGAUUAGAUACCCGCGUAGUCCCUGUCUCUUAUAC